GAUGAACGCUGGCGGCGUGCCUAAUACAUGCAAGUCGAGCGAACAGACGAGGAGCUUGCUCCUCUGACGUUAGCGGCGGACGGGUGAGUAACACGUGGAUAACCUACCUAUAAGACUGGGAUAACUUCGGGGAAACCGGAGCUAAUACCGGAUAAUAUAUUGAACCGCAUGGUUCAAUAGUGAAAGACGGUUUUGCUGUCACUUAUAGAUGGAUCCGCGCCGCAUUAGCUAGUUGGUAAGGUAACGGCUUACCAAGGCAACGAUGCGUAGCCGACCUGAGAGGGUGAUCGGCCACACUGGAACUGAGACACGGUCCAGACUCCUACGGGAGGCAGCAGUAGGGAAUCUUCCGCAAUGGGCGAAAGCCUGACGGAGCAACGCCGCGUGAGUGAUGAAGGUCUUCGGAUCGUAAAACUCUGUUAUUAGGGAAGAACAAAUGUGUAAGUAACUAUGCACGUCUUGACGGUACCUAAUCAGAAAGCCACGGCUAACUACGUG
RNAcentral lists this ribosomal RNA (498 nucleotides) under uncultured bacterium. Its description in RNAcentral is "partial 16S ribosomal RNA". It matches the Rfam family "Bacterial small subunit ribosomal RNA", at positions 28 to 507 of the family's 1533-position model. The record is from RNAcentral.